RNAcentral lists this long non-coding RNA (525 nucleotides) under Lathyrus oleraceus (garden pea). Its description in RNAcentral is "Pisum sativum (pea) long non-coding RNA (PSAT_LNC041722)". Lineage: Eukaryota; Viridiplantae; Streptophyta; Magnoliopsida; Fabales; Fabaceae. The record is from RNAcentral.
UAUACCCUCGUAUCACUCUCUCUGCUAAUUUUCAUUGACAUUGAAAAGUGAUAAAAAAUAUGAAGAGCAAUAUAUUUUGGAUGGAGUGCUUAUCUUCAUUUUUUAUGUGAUUGACCCAAUCUACCCUCACCUUUUUCUUCUUCUUAUACAUAACAAUGACAACAAUCUCACUUCAUCUUCUCAUAUCACCAUUUCAUACACCAAAACACAACACCAUACAAAUCUUUCAACCUUCAUAAUAUUAUCACAUAACCAAACACUUGCUCAUCUCUCUUUCAUAACAUGUGAUAACCACCACCACCAUGAACCAUAAAUCUUCAUAAAUCUCACAACCAUAGCACAACUAUAAACCUUGUCAUUAUUAACACAUACACACAUAUUAAAGAAAAAACUCAAUAAAAUAACAACCACUCAUAAUUGAGAAUGAACAGAAGGUGAGAUCCGCACAACCGCCGUCGCGUAAACCACCGGAAAACGACCGCCAACCGCCUCUCCGGAACCCACGUAGAACUUCCAUUCUCCGUG